AUGCAGUCGAGCGAUGGAUUAGAGCUUGCUCUUAUGAAGUUAGCGGCGGACGGGUGAGUAACACGUGGGUAACCUGCCCAUAAGACUGGGAUAACUCCGGGAAACCGGGGCUAAUACCGGAUAACAUUUUGAACCGCAUGGUUCGAAAUUGAAAGGCGGCUUCGGCUGUCACUUAUGGAUGGACCCGCGUCGCAUUAGCUAGUUGGUGAGGUAACGGCUCACCAAGGCAACGAUGCGUAGCCGACCUGAGAGGGUGAUCGGCCACACUGGGACUGAGACACGGCCCAGACUCCUACGGGAGGCAGCAGUAGGGAAUCUUCCGCAAUGGACGAAAGUCUGACGGAGCAACGCCGCGUGAGUGAUGAAGGCUUUCGGGUCGUAAAACUCUGUUGUUAGGGAAGAACAAGUGCUAGUUGAAUAAGCUGGCACCUUGACGGUACCUAACCAGAAAGCCACGGCUAACUACGUGCCAGCAGCCGCGGUAAUACGUAGGUGGCAAGCGUUAUCCGGAAUUAUUGGGCGUAAAGCGCGCGCAGGUGGUUUCUUAAGUCUGAUGUGAAAGCCCACGGCUCAACCGUGGAGGGUCAUUGGAAACUGGGAGACUUGAGUGCAGAAGAGGAAAGUGGAAUUCCAUGUGUAGCGGUGAAAUGCGUAGAGAUAUGGAGGAACACCAGUGGCGAAGGCGACUUUCUGGUCUGUAACUGACACUGAGGCGCGAA
RNAcentral lists this ribosomal RNA (719 nucleotides) under Bacillus sp. (in: firmicutes). RNAcentral describes it as "bacterial SSU rRNA". It matches the Rfam family "Bacterial small subunit ribosomal RNA", at positions 55 to 757 of the family's 1533-position model. The record is from RNAcentral. Lineage: Bacteria; Bacillati; Bacillota; Bacilli; Caryophanales; Bacillaceae.